RNAcentral lists this ribosomal RNA (402 nucleotides) under uncultured Actinomycetes bacterium. Its description in RNAcentral is "bacterial SSU rRNA". It matches the Rfam family "Bacterial small subunit ribosomal RNA", at positions 897 to 1299 of the family's 1533-position model. Lineage: Bacteria; Bacillati; Actinomycetota; Actinomycetes. The record is from RNAcentral.
AAACUCAAAGGAAUUGACGGGGGCCCGCACAAGCGGCGGAGCAUGUGGAUUAAUUCGAUGCAACGCGAAGAACCUUACCUGGGUUUGACAUGCACAGGACGCGUCUAGAGAUAGGCGUUCCCUUGUGGCCUGUGUGCAGGUGGUGCAUGGCUGUCGUCAGCUCGUGUCGUGAGAUGUUGGGUUAAGUCCCGCAACGAGCGCAACCCUUGUCUCAWGUUGCCAGCGGGUAAUGCCGGGGACUCGUGAGAGACUGCCGGGGUCAACUCGGAGGAAGGUGGGGAUGACGUCAAGUCAUCAUGCCCCUUAUGUCCAGGGCUUCACACAUGCUACAAUGGCCGGUACAAAGGGCUGCGAUGCCGCAAGGUUAAGCGAAUCCUUUUAAAGCCGGUCUCAGUUCGGAUC